AUGGAAAAGCGUCACGUCCACCGCCCUGGAGCCGCGGGACAAAGGGAAAAACAGCGGGGAAACCUCGGGGAAGCGGCGGGAUCGGGGAACGGCCGCGCCGGGCGGAGUCCCGAGCUCGCCGGUGUCCCGUCCCCAGGUGUCACCUCCCGCAGGUGUCACCUCCCGGCGGCGCUGGCCACACACCCUUGCAGAGCUCCGGAACGCCGUGCUGGCAGCGGCGAUGGGCUGCAGGAGGGACGGAGCCCGGCGCACAUCUGGCCGCUGUCGCUGCCCAGCCAGUCCCGGCCAUGGGGCGCUGAUGUCACCGCAGGGCCAGGAUGCGCGGGGACGCUGGGAAUUGCAGUUCCAGCCUUUGGGAUCCCUCCUGCUGCCCUCAUCCUGGGCUCGGGAUCCCUCCUGCUCCUGUAUUCCAGCCUUUGGGAUCCCUCCUGCUGCCCCGCUCCUGGGUUCGGGAUCCCUUCUGCUCCUGUGUUCCAGGGUUUGGGAUCCCUCCUGCUGCCCCGCUCCUGGGUUCGGGAUCCCUCCUGCUGCCCCACUCCUGGGCUCGGGAUCCCUUCUGCUCCUGUAUUCCAGCCUUUGGGAUCCCUCCUGCUGCCCCGCUCCUGGGUUCGGGAUCCCUCCUGCUGCCCCACUCCUGGGCUCGGGAUCCCUUCUGCUCCUGUAUUCCAGCCUUUGGGAUCCCUCCUGCUGCCCCGCUCCUGGGUUCGGGAUCCCUCCUGCUGCCCCACUCCUGGGCUCGGGAUCCCUUCUGCUCCUGUAUUCCAGCCUUUGGGAUCCCUCCUGCUGCCCCGCUCCUGGGUUCGGGAUCCCUCCUGCUGCCCCACUCCUGGGCUCGGGAUCCCUUCUGCUCCUGUAUUCCAGCCUUUGGGAUCCCUCCUGCUGCCCCGCUCCUGGGUUCGGGAUCCCUCCUGCUGCCCCACUCCUGGGCUCGGGAUCCCUUCUGCUCCUGUAUUCCAGCCUUUGGGAUCCCUCCUGCUGCCCCGCUCCUGGGUUCGGGAUCCCUCCUGCUGCCCCACUCCUGGGCUCGGGAUCCCUUCUGCUCCUGUAUUCCAGCCUUUGGGAUCCCUCCUGCUGCCCCGCUCCUGGGUUCGGGAUCCCUCCUGCUGCCCCACUCCUGGGCUCGGGAUCCCUUCUGCUCCUGUAUUCCAGCCUUUGGGAUCCCUCCUGCUGCCCCGCUCCUGGGUUCGGGAUCCCUCCUGCUGCCCCACUCCUGGGCUCGGGAUCCCUUCUGCUCCUGUAUUCCAGCCUUUGGGAUCCCUCCUGCUGCCCCGCUCCUGGGUUCGGGAUCCCUCCUGCUGCCCCACUCCUGGGCUCGGGAUCCCUUCUGCUCCUGUAUUCCAGCCUUUGGGAUCCCUUCUGCUGCCCUCAUCCUGGGUUCGGGAUCCCUCCUGCUCCUGUAUUCCAGCCUUUGGGAUCCCUCCUGCUGCCCCGCUCCUGGGUUUGGGAUCCCUUUCUGCUGUCCCGCUCCUGGGUUUGGGAUCCCUUCUGCUCCUGUGUUCCAGGGUUUGGGAUCCCUCCUGA
This 1521-nucleotide long non-coding RNA is filed under the name Ficedula albicollis (Collared flycatcher). RNAcentral describes it as "lncRNA (ENSFALG00000027249.1)". The record is from RNAcentral. Lineage: Eukaryota; Metazoa; Chordata; Aves; Passeriformes; Muscicapidae.